Molecule: non-coding RNA, 181 nt
Filed under: Bacillota bacterium
Lineage: Bacteria; Bacillati; Bacillota
Description: 6S RNA
Rfam family: 6S / SsrS RNA
About the family: E. coli 6S RNA was the first non coding RNA to be sequenced, but its function was unknown until recently. It consists of 184 nucleotides that fold into an extended hairpin structure with a large single-stranded internal bulge. The 6S RNA specifically associates with RNA polymerase holoenzyme containing the sigma70 specificity factor.
Source: RNAcentral
AAUACCCUGCUGUGCGCGUGCAAAGCUGUAUAGUUUUGAGCUAACACUAAUGAAUUGGGAGCCUGACUUUAGGUGUGGCGCAGAAGCCCUGAAUUCUGUGGGACCUGCAAAGCAUGUAAGAAGGCACCCCCCUGUAGGGAGAAAGUUCAAAACAACGGCCCAACGUCAUGGUGGGGUUUAU